AGGGGCGUAGUUCAAUGGCAGAACAGAGGUCUCCAAAACCUCAAAUGCGGGUUCGAUUCCUGCCGCCCCUGCCA
RNAcentral lists this transfer RNA (74 nucleotides) under Kroppenstedtia eburnea. RNAcentral's name for it is "tRNA-Trp". It matches the Rfam family "tRNA". Rfam says of the family: Transfer RNA (tRNA) molecules are approximately 80 nucleotides in length. Their secondary structure includes four short double-helical elements and three loops (D, anti-codon, and T loops). Further hydrogen bonds mediate the characteristic L-shaped molecular structure. tRNAs have two regions of fundamental functional importance: the anti-codon, which is responsible for specific mRNA codon recognition, and the 3' end, to which the tRNAs corresponding amino acid is attached (by aminoacyl-tRNA synthetases). tRNAs cope with the degeneracy of the genetic code in two manners: having more than one tRNA (with a specific anti-codon) for a particular amino acid; and 'wobble' base-pairing, i.e. permitting non-standard base-pairing at the 3rd anti-codon position. The record is from RNAcentral. Lineage: Bacteria; Bacillati; Bacillota; Bacilli; Caryophanales; Thermoactinomycetaceae. RNAcentral also lists the same sequence under 6 other names.